GAUACAUAGGAUAUAUUGGCUAGUUUAGUUAAAUGAAAUUGCUAUGGGUAUGAAAGCUUUAAUGUAAAAACAGGCUGAGGUGGUAACUUGAAUGACUACACUAUUUUGCUGGGAAUAUAGUCUAAUCUCAUAAGACCUCUCACGCUUUUGCAGUGUGUGUGUAGAAGCUGAUGAAGAUUGAAGUGUUGGAAGCACAGUGUUCAUGCUGAAGAGUAUGAUAGUCUUCUGUUUCAAGAGGAGGAGAGCCAUCUGCUGUGAUCCAGUCUCUGGCACUGAAGAGGACAGCAGUGACUAAUGAUUAACUAAACUUUGGUCAUCAAUUUUUGGAGCAUCUAUCUCUAGAUGUGAAUGUGUCAGAAGUUGCUCACAAGCGCUUCAACUAUGUUUCUUGACUGUCCUGGGGGGCUAUGCAGCCUUCAGUGAGAAACAGGGAACAGAAGCCACUUGGGGAAUUUUUCAACUGGUGAAUACCUGCUGCUGUAGAGAGGAUCUCAAAUGUACACCACUCACAAAUCUUAAGAUAAAAUCAAACAGGAUUCUGAAGAUGUAUAAAGAAUCCAGGGUAAUACAAGAAAAAUGUGAAAAGCUCAGCUGGAAAAAUCUUUCUCAGAAUUGUGUGCUGCUUGAACAGUGUCAUCUGAAAGCUAUUGUGGUCUUUUGUGGCAAACUUGGAAAGUGCCUGGUGCAAAAGGUGCGCAUCAACACUCUGUGUUUUGAUUUGAUCUAUUGUUAUUUGAUGAAAUUUAAAGUCAGUUUCCAUGAAAUAAAGUGAUGGUUCUUUUUUUUCAAGGCAUCGUCAAGAUACACCCCAAACAAAUACAGUUAGGUCUUAUUUUUAUUUGGUACUAUUUCCUGCACUGGUCUGGAAUUUAUUCAAAUGUAUUAAGUAAAAUGAUGACUGUACACUAUGCAAAAGGACUGCUGGAGAAUAGAUUAUCUCAUUGUUUUAAAUUGUGAGAAACUGAUCAUUUCAAUCUGGAAGAGACAUCUUAAGUAGGGCUUAUCUGCAAAUGUAAUAAAAUAUUCCUCUGUGUCUGGAGGAAGAUAUGG
Molecule: long non-coding RNA, 1050 nt
Filed under: Phasianus colchicus (ring-necked pheasant)
Lineage: Eukaryota; Metazoa; Chordata; Aves; Galliformes; Phasianidae
Description: lncRNA (ENSPCLG00000007941.1)
Source: RNAcentral